GGGGCAGCUCCCUUCUCUGCCAGGCCGACUGCCUGGAGCCACCGACAUGGACCGAAACCUCUCCAGACUGAGCUGAAGUGAAUCUCUGCUCUUUGGUGGGGUCUGCCUGUGACGAGGAAAGCCUGUGAGUGCUUGGCCUGUGCAGGGCUGUGUGCUGCAGGCCGUUUGGGAGCACUCAUGACUGGCCAUCGGGGUGUGUGCUGACCGGGGGCUCUGCCAGGUCCCGGAACCCCAGAAACCAACCCAGGAGAGAGGCCCAGGGUCAUGAACCUCCUGGAGUGGCUCUGAAAACCCAGAUCUUGCUCACCUGCGCUCCCUGUAGGUCCUCAGGGGCUCUCACAGGAGGCGUGGUGAGGGUGCCAAGUUUCCUACAGCUGCACUGCGACCCUUGGGAAGGACGCA
Long non-coding RNA from Fukomys damarensis (Damara mole-rat), 402 nucleotides. RefSeq lists it as uncharacterized. The record is from RefSeq and is a predicted model, not a curated record. The transcript has 3 exons. NCBI's taxonomy places the organism in Eukaryota, Metazoa, Chordata, Mammalia, Rodentia, Bathyergidae.